Heterocephalus glaber (naked mole-rat) is the source of this 1979-nucleotide long non-coding RNA. The record is from Ensembl. Lineage: Eukaryota; Metazoa; Chordata; Mammalia; Rodentia; Bathyergidae.
GCGGGGGUGCUCCUUCCAGGUUUGAGAGGGGCGGGGAGUUGGAGCGAUGAGGUAAUUGGAGCUGUGACCGGUCGGUGCUUGCGCGCCUCCCCUGCUCCCGGCUCUCUGCACCUAGUUGGAGCGACCGAAUGACAGCGGGGUGCAACUCAGGCAAUCUGGGGGGCUCCCCCGCCCCAGAGGUGUCAGGCUUCAGCUCCGAGCCGGUGAAAUACUCAAGGAGGCGGGGAAGCUGGCUAAUUCUAAUCCCAACUGGCCCUGGGUCCCGGCGCUCGGAGAAGCGUCGGAAGGAGCUCGCUCCGAUCCCCGGCUGCACUUUCGCCCUCCAAACCGAGUCGCUUCGGCGAUCGGGAACCCAGACCCGGGGCCGCGGGGGCUGCCUCGGCGUGCAACUCGCCAAAGUUUUAAGGGUCCCCGUGAUGGCCCACGCGUCCUCACCUUUCCUGCUCGGGAGAGCCAGCGACCACCGGCCCUCCCUCCUGUCUGUUUCUGCACGUCCGGAAAUCUGCUGUGGGCUUUGAACUAUUCCGCUGUGGCCGUGGUAGACGACCCGCGGGCUCCUCUCGCGGCUAAUUCGGGAUCAUUAAUUUAAUCGGAAGUGAGGUAACCGUGUAGGAGAUAGAGAAAGUAAACGGAGCGUUAAAUAGCAGUUCUUGUGAAUCCACGCCGAAGAACUUCCUCUGGGUUUAAUUGCUAAGUGCGGUUCUCAGCUCCUUCGCCUCGCCCGCGUCCCCUCCGCCCGUCCGCCGCCGGGUGACUCCGCAUGGAGGGAUCCUCUCUGCACCUUGCCAACAGGUGUGGCACCUGGAGGGAGAGCGGGCGCAUCCCUACGAGGGCCGCUCAGAGGGCCGCUCACCGAGGCGCUGUCCUUGCGGCAGAUAAUUCUGCAAGACCAGUAGGUGUUGGGGCAGCGUUUGACUUGCUUCAGGUGCUUGGAACUGGGUCUAGAAAUCUGAUCCCUCCGUUUCUCCCUGGAAGACACCAGUGUUGACUGUAAGCUGUGUGUGUGUGAGAGAGACCUUUUCGCUGAGUUUACUUAUGACCUAACGGUUAGUCACCAAUUGAAGCAGGAUACAGAAUCACCGAGAAAAACGUGUCAGCUUUUAAACAACUCUAGAUUGUAGAGCCACCGCGCUUCAAAAAUAAAAAUAAGCACACUCGCGAAGAAGGUAAUACAGCCCCAGACAUAUUUUUUUCUCACAUUUUGACAUGCCAGGCGCAUAGACAUGACUACUUAAAUAGAACUACUAUUGUUCACUCUUACUCGUUUCUACAGCUUUUUUUCUUUUCUUAUCUCUCUUUCCAUUUAAAAAUCAGUGAUCCUUAGGUUUCAACCUGAGGUUGUGCGACAGUGACAUUGCUGGUCUCCGUACAGCCUCUAGUGGACAGUUAACAUCAGUUUCCUGCAAAGGCUGCUGGUGAUGUUUAUGUCCACAGACAUUAUCAAGGUGAAGGGUGAGAUUCAGAACGCAACCAGAGAAGGAGGACACUGCUGUGAUGCACAAAAUCCAACUCUACAAGACCUUGGUCAUGGCAGUCCUCACACUUGGGUCCUUAUAAUGCAAGGUUUUGGAGUCUCUGGUUCGUGGCUGUUUGGGGAACUGGUUGAUAUUCUUUAUAGAUUGGAGAUAAAGGCGAAUGGGAAUGAUUCCUAUGAUCCACAUUUGAUUAUCUGGCCAAUAUCAUCGGGGACAAUUGAAGGUUUACAGCUCAAGGCCUUGAAAGAAAGAAAAAACUACAUUUGGGAUGAAUUCACAUACAGAGAGUUUCCAUCUGAGAGCCUGUUUGGCUGCUCUAAAAAUGUCGAUUAACAUCAAGAUUCCAUUUUAAGAGUUCAGUUGACACUGUUUGAAAUGAAAACAAGAGCUAGACAUAAACAAUUGUUUUAUGAGGAAGUGUUGAACAUUGCUUGUGUGAGAGAGCAAAAAUCGUAUGCUGUUGAUUUUACCUUUCCUUUGGAAGACACCUUUAGGAUUGUUCUU